This 310-nucleotide ribosomal RNA is filed under the name uncultured bacterium. RNAcentral's name for it is "bacterial SSU rRNA". It matches the Rfam family "Bacterial small subunit ribosomal RNA", at positions 30 to 334 of the family's 1533-position model. The record is from RNAcentral.
AUUGAACGCUAGCGGCAUGCUUAACACAUGCAAGUCGAACGGCAGCGGGAGAAAGCUUGCUUUCUUGCCGGCGAGUGGCGGACGGGUGAGUAACGCGUAGGAAUUUACCUAGUAGUGGGGGACAACUCGGGGAAACUCGAGCUAAUACCGCAUAAUCUCUACGGAGCAAAGCAGGGGAUCUUCGGACCUUGCGCUAUUAGAUGAGCCUGCGUUGGAUUAGCUUGUUGGUGGGGUAAAGGCCUACCAAGGCGACGAUCCAUAGCUGGUCUGAGAGGACGAUCAGCCACACUGGGACUGAGACACGGCCCAG